GACGAACGCUGGCGGCGUGCCUAAUACAUGCAAGUAGAACGCUGAAGGAGGAGCUUGCUUCUCUGGAUGAGUUGCGAACGGGUGAGUAACGCGUAGGUAACCUGCCUGGUAGCGGGGGAUAACUAUUGGAAACGAUAGCUAAUACCGCAUAAGAGUAGAUGUUGCAUGACAUUUGCUUAAAAGGUGCAAUUGCAUCACUACCAGAUGGACCUGCGUUGUAUUAGCUAGUUGGUGGGGUAACGGCUCACCAAGGCGACGAUACAUAGCCGACCUGAGAGGGUGAUCGGCCACGCUGGGACUGGGACACGGCCCAGACUCCUACGGGAGGCAGCAGUAGGGAAUCUUCGGCAAUGGACGGAAGUCUGACCGAGCAACGCCGCGUGAGUGAAGAAGGUUUUCGGAUCGUAAAGCUCUGUUGUAAGAGAAGAACGAGUGUGAGAGUGGAAAGUUCACACUGUGACGGUAUCUUACCAGAAAGGGACGGCUAACUACGUG
This 495-nucleotide ribosomal RNA is filed under the name uncultured bacterium. RNAcentral describes it as "partial 16S ribosomal RNA". It matches the Rfam family "Bacterial small subunit ribosomal RNA", at positions 28 to 507 of the family's 1533-position model. The record is from RNAcentral.